CUCAGGGCAAGGGCUCAGAGUCGCU
RNAcentral lists this unclassified non-coding RNA (25 nucleotides) under Mus musculus (house mouse). RNAcentral's name for it is "oocyte_clustered_small_RNA13638". The record is from RNAcentral. Lineage: Eukaryota; Metazoa; Chordata; Mammalia; Rodentia; Muridae.